AUGAAAAUCCUAGCCUGGAACUACCGGGGCCUUGGGAACGCACCGGCAGUACGUGCUUUGUUGGAUGUCCAACGAAGCUGCAACCCCGAGGUGAUGUUCUUGUCGGAGACGCACCUUGAUAGCUAUCCGGCAGAAUGCUUGCGAAAGAGAUUGAAGAUGGACCAAAAACUAGUUUUUCCAAGCAACGGUAGAAGUGGAGGACUAGUUCUUUUCUGGAAUAAUAAUGUCAAUGUUCAGAGAAUCUCUCUAGACCCCAUGUUCAUUGAUGUUAAUAUAGUUGAUAAUAAUAACAAUAAUUCUGGUUGGCGGUUGACUGGGAUGUAUGGAGAGUUCAGGUGGGAGAACAAACAUUUAACUUGGUCGCGUAUGAGGCAGCUACACCAAGCGCAGAAUUUACCAUGGCUCCUGGUGGGUGAUCUCAAUGAGAUUAUGUACUUACAUGAGAAGGAGGGUGGCAACCCACGACCACCUCAAUAUAUGCAAGCGUUCCAGGAUAUUGUGGAAGAAUGCGCAUUACACGAUCUGGGCUACAUAGGUGACCAUUUCACUUGGCGUCGAGGAAGAAUUCGUGAAAGGCUUGAUAGAGGAUUGGUAAAUGAUCUGUGGACCUCCCAAUUCCCUCAUGCGGCAUUGCAGAAUCUGGAGUUCAAUCACUCGGAUCAUAGACCCCUUCUGGUGGACACUGAGUUCUAUGUACAGGAACCAAAUGGUCAGAAUGCAAACGUCAAAAGAUUUGAAGCUAGAUGGCUGAGAGAGAAGCUUUUCAAUGAGAAGGUGAUGGAAGCCUAG
Molecule: ribosomal RNA, 789 nt
Filed under: Triticum aestivum (bread wheat)
Lineage: Eukaryota; Viridiplantae; Streptophyta; Magnoliopsida; Poales; Poaceae
Description: partial small subunit ribosomal RNA
Source: RNAcentral